UACGGAGGGUGCGAGCGUUAAUCGAAAUUACUGGGCGUAAAGGGUGCGUAGGUGGCACGAUAAGUUACUUGUGAAAGUCCUGGGCUUAACCCAGGUUGGACGAGUGAUACUGUUGAGCUAGAGUACAGGAGAGGGCAGUGGAAUUCCAGGUGUAGCGGUGAAAUGCGUAGAUAUCUGGAGGAACAUCGGUGGCGAAGGCGGCUGCCUGGUCUGAUACUGACACUGAGGCACGAAAGCGUGGGGAGCAAACAGGAUUAGAAACCCGGGUAGU
RNAcentral lists this ribosomal RNA (271 nucleotides) under uncultured bacterium. RNAcentral's name for it is "partial 16S ribosomal RNA". It matches the Rfam family "Bacterial small subunit ribosomal RNA", at positions 524 to 794 of the family's 1533-position model. The record is from RNAcentral.